AAUAAGCGCAGCCAUAAGUUUUCAUGUCCAACUUUGAUCGUCCGUCUUAUUUAAAUUUUUUUAUGAUUACUAUUUUUUAUUAGAUUGUAAAACAUGAAUAAUACUUUAUGCGUUACUUAUGUUUUUUUAGUUUUUUAAAAAAAUUAAAAUAAGAUGAACGAUUAAAGUUGGA
This 172-nucleotide microRNA precursor is filed under the name Oryza barthii. Its description in RNAcentral is "MIR812 microRNA precursor family". It matches the Rfam family "MIR812 microRNA precursor family", at positions 1 to 179 of the family's 205-position model. The record is from Rfam by way of RNAcentral. Lineage: Eukaryota; Viridiplantae; Streptophyta; Magnoliopsida; Poales; Poaceae.